RNAcentral lists this long non-coding RNA (1108 nucleotides) under Phasianus colchicus (ring-necked pheasant). RNAcentral's name for it is "lncRNA (ENSPCLG00000016637.1)". Lineage: Eukaryota; Metazoa; Chordata; Aves; Galliformes; Phasianidae. The record is from RNAcentral.
ACUCCCGGAAGCCCCGCCCACCCACCGUAGUCAGACCAGGAGGAAUAGAGGCACUGCGAUGCGUCGGGACUGAAGAGGACGUCGAGGAUGGCCCAGCCCACGUCGCGACCCCGCCAGCAGCGCAGCGCCCGCAGCCCCGACCCCCGGCACGAGUAGACACGCAGCGUCUGGUCUGCAGCACCAAACAACCCAAAUCCCCGCGUUUCAACCCAAAAUUCGGGCUCAGAAGGUGAGAAAACCCAAAGCGUCUGGUCUGCAGCACCAAACAACCCAAAUCCCGACAUUUCAGCCCAAAAUCUGGGCUCACAACGCGAUGAAACCCUGAGGAUCUGAUAUGGGGGGGAAAAGGACCAAAUUUCCUGCAUUUCAGCCCAAAAUCGACCCAUUUCAGCCCAAAAUCUGGGCUCAGAAGGUGAGAAAACCCAAAGCGUCUGGUCUGCAGCACCAAACAACCCAAAUCCCCACGUUUCAACCCAAAAUUUGGGCUCAGAAGGUGAGAAAACCCAAAGCGUCUGGUCUGCAGCACCAGGUAACGAAAUUUCUGGCAUUUCAGCCCAAAAUCGACCCAUUUCAGCCCAAAAUCUGGGCUCCCAAUGCAAGGAAAACAUCAGCAUCUGGUUUGCAGCACCAAACAACCCAAAUCCCCACGUUUCAACCCAAAAUCUGGGCUCAGAAGGUGAGAAAACCCAAAGCGUCUGGUCUGCAGCACCAAACAACCCAAAUCCCCGCGUUUCAACCCAAAAUUUGGGCUCAGAAGAAGGUGAGAAAACCCAAAGCGUCUGGUCUGCAGCACCAAACAACCCAAAUCCCCACGUUUCAACCCAAAAUCUGGGCUCACAACAUGAGAAAACCCAAAGCGUCUGGUCUGCAGCACCAAAGAACCAAAAUCCCCACGUUUCUGCCCAAAAUUCGAGCUCAAAACGCGAGGAAACUCUGAGGAUCUGAUAUGGGGGGAAAAAGAACCAAAUUUCCUGCAUUUCAGCCCAAAAUCGACCCAUUUCAGCCCAAAAUCUGGGCUCACAACACAAGGAAACCAUCAGCAUCUGGUUUGCAGCACCAAAGAACCAAAAUCCCCACGUUUCAACCCAAAAUCUGGGCUCAGAAGGUG